RNAcentral lists this ribosomal RNA (460 nucleotides) under uncultured bacterium. RNAcentral describes it as "partial 16S ribosomal RNA". It matches the Rfam family "Bacterial small subunit ribosomal RNA", at positions 338 to 795 of the family's 1533-position model. The record is from RNAcentral.
CCUACGGGGGGCAGCAGUGAGGAAUAUUGGUCAAUGGGCGCGAGCCUGAACCAGCCAAGUCGCGUGAAGGAUGACUGCCCUACGGGUUGUAAACUUCUUUUAUAAAGGAAUCAAAUGAUCCACGUGUGCGAUUUUGUAAGUACUUUAUGAAUAAGGAUCGGCUAACUCCGUGCCAGCAGCCGCGGUAAUACGGAGGAUCCGAGCGUUAUCCGGAUUUAUUGGGUUUAAAGGGAGCGUAGGUGGUUUGUUAAGUCAGUUGUGAAAGUUUGCGGCUCAACCGUAAAAUUGCAGUUGAUACUGGCAGCCUUGAGUACAGUUGAGGCAGGCGGAAUGCGUGGUGUAGCGGUGAAAUGCUUAGAUAUCACGAAGAACUCCGAUUGCGAAGGCAGCUUACUAGACUGCAACUGACACUGAUGCUCGAAAGUGUGGGUAUCAAACAGGAUUAGAUACCCCAGUAGUC